UAGCGGCGGACGGGUGCGUAACGCGUGGGUAAUCUGCCCUUGUCACUGGGAUAACACAUCGAAAGGUGUGCUAAUACCGGAUGAAAUACAGACCUGGCAUCGGGACUGUAUCAAAGUCAUGCGGACAAGGAUGAGCCUGCGUCUGAUUAGCUUGUUGGUGGGGUAAAAGCCUACCAAGGCGACGAUCAGUAGCCGACCUGAGAGGGUGAUCGGCCACACUGGAACUGAGACACGGUCCAGACUCCUACGGGAGGCAGCAGUGGGGAAUAUUGCACAAUGGGCGCAAGCCUGAUGCAGCAACGCCGCGUGAGUGAUGAAGGCCUUCGGGUCGUAAAACUCUGUCCUAAGGGAAGAUAAUGACGGUACCUUAGGAAGAAGCCCCGGAUAACUACGUGCCAGCA
Molecule: ribosomal RNA, 401 nt
Filed under: uncultured Proteocatella sp.
Lineage: Bacteria; Bacillati; Bacillota; Clostridia; Peptostreptococcales; Filifactoraceae
Description: bacterial SSU rRNA
Rfam family: Bacterial small subunit ribosomal RNA
Source: RNAcentral